Mustela putorius furo (domestic ferret) is the source of this 117-nucleotide ribosomal RNA. The record is from Ensembl. Lineage: Eukaryota; Metazoa; Chordata; Mammalia; Carnivora; Mustelidae.
GUCUAUGGCCAUACAACCUCAAACAUGCCUGAUCCCAUCUGAUCUCAGAAGCUAAGCAGGGUUGGGCUUGGUUAGUAUCAGGUUGAAAAAAAUAUAUACAAUAAUUGGUGGUUUUCC